CGCUNANUUUCUCUCUCANCGCCAGUAACNNCCCCCUCCGAUGUCAUACACUGUUUCNUNNNCCCUUAACCUGGUUGAUCCUGCCAGUAGUCAUAUGCUUGUCUCAAAGACUAAGCCAUGCAUGUCUAAGUAUAAAUAACUACACAGUAAAACUGCGAAUGGCUCAUUAAAACAGUUAUAGUUUAUUUGAUACAACAAAUGGAUAACUGUAGAAAAACUAGAGCUAAUACAUGCCGAAGCCGCAAGGUUGUAUUUAUUAGAUAUACCCAGUAGGUGAUUCAUAAUAACUAUGCAAAUCGUAACUCUGUUACGAUAAAUCAUUCAAGUUUCUGCCCUAUCAGCUUUCGAUGGUAGUGUAUUGGACUACCAUGGCUUUCACGGGUAACGGAGAAUUAGGGUUCGAUUCCGGAGAAGGAGCCUGAGAAACGGCUACUACAUCUAAGGAAGGCAGCAGGCGCGUAAAUUACCCAAUCCUGACUCAGGGAGGUAGUGACAAGAUAUAAUGACGCGAUUUAAUAUCGUGAUUGUAGUGAGGGUAUUCCAAACCGAACUUCUAGUACGAUUGGAGGGCAAGUCUGGUGCCAGCAGCCGCGGUAANNNNNGCUCCAAUAGCGUAUAUUAAAGUUAUUGCAGUUAAAAAGCUCGUAGUUGGAUUUCAAGGUGUGCGUCUUAUGCANAUAANUUCGCUACCUACCANUCCGAAAGGACUGUUACUGUGAGAAAAUUANAGUGUUUCAAGCANGCUAUUGCANNAAUACAUUANCAUGGAAUAACGAAUGGGUCUAGAAUCUUGGUUUAAUUCUAUAUUACGAUUAAUAGGGACAGUUGGGGGCAUUANUAUUUAAUUGUCAGANGNGAAAUUCUUGNAUNUGUUACGACUAACNUAUGCNAAAANNNUUGCCAAGGNUGUUUUCAUUAAUCANGAACGAAAGAUAGGGAUCAAAGACNAUCANAUACCGUCNUANUCCUAUCUAUNAACGAUGCCNACU
Molecule: ribosomal RNA, 989 nt
Filed under: uncultured eukaryote
Lineage: Eukaryota
Description: partial 18S ribosomal RNA
Rfam family: Eukaryotic small subunit ribosomal RNA
Source: RNAcentral